This is a long non-coding RNA of Etheostoma spectabile (orangethroat darter), 489 nucleotides long. RefSeq lists it as uncharacterized. The transcript has 5 exons. The record is from RefSeq and is a predicted model, not a curated record. Lineage: Eukaryota; Metazoa; Chordata; Actinopteri; Perciformes; Percidae.
UGCUCAUCUUACGGCUGACCUCUCUGGGCUGGAGGAGAUGCAAUCUGUCAGCUGAACGUGAGCCCUUUAGCUUCAUGGAUUUUUCUGCAUCUGACACAAUCUGGACUUGCCUCAGAAUCAUCUGAAGGGAGUGCAGACCUCCCCCUCUCUGAAGAGACAGACAGUGCUCAUUGUCCACAGGGAAAAUACUUCUCCCACCAGCUUUGUUUGGAGUGUCCCUCUGGUCAUUUUUGUACUGGCAAUGUAUCUGCACCUCAUAGAUGUCCAGCAGGAACAUUCAACCUCUACACAGGGAAAAGUAGUAUCAGUGACUGCAAGCCUUGUUUUCCAGGUCUGAUCAGUGCAGUGGACAAAGUGGACUGUAGGCUGUGUCCAGCAGGUUUCUCAUGCGAUCCAGCCAAUGGGACUCUCUCUUUAUGCCCCCCAGGACAGCAUUCCCCAGAGGGGGUCCUACAGUGUCUGACAUGCCCUGUAGAUUCCAUCUGCACA